AGAAUGGCAGGUCUGGGGAGCAGGAAGAACAAACAUGGACAGGGAGAAGUAAUGCAGAGAGCUGGAGAUGAGAGUGUGGCUGUAGAGAGGGAUUGAGGAGCAGACUGUGACACUGGUUGCCUCAUCUGAAGUGGCUGCUGGCCUUUAACUUGAAACUUUUUCAUAGUGGGAAGGCCAGCCAGAUAUGGCUGACAAUCCUGUUGCUCUCCUCACUGUGGUUUCUGACAACACUACUGGUGUGGUCCACUUCAGCCCUGAGAGCCUCUCUGUUGUAGUCGAAGAUGAAAUUGCUGGUGAAAAAUAUGUGGGAAAGAGCCAUAAUGCACAGACAGAGUGAGACAUUCACACAUACUGUAUAAUUUUCUCACUAUUUACUAAUAAACAGUGCUGCAUGAAAAUUACAUUGUGAUUUAAGGUGGUGCAGUCACUUUUCACAUAGGAAUAAAUUAAUUUCCACAACUGUACAU
Thunnus maccoyii (southern bluefin tuna) is the source of this 467-nucleotide long non-coding RNA. RefSeq lists it as uncharacterized. The transcript has 3 exons. The record is from RefSeq and is a predicted model, not a curated record. NCBI's taxonomy places the organism in Eukaryota, Metazoa, Chordata, Actinopteri, Scombriformes, Scombridae.